Numida meleagris (helmeted guineafowl) is the source of this 1416-nucleotide long non-coding RNA. RefSeq lists it as uncharacterized. NCBI's taxonomy places the organism in Eukaryota, Metazoa, Chordata, Aves, Galliformes, Numididae. The record is from RefSeq and is a predicted model, not a curated record. The transcript is spliced from 4 exons.
UCCAAGUUCUGUUUGUGCACCUCUAUGCAUAAGUAUUGCCUUAAAUUUUUUCUGCAGUGUUUGUGAACCUCCAUCUGACAUCUUAAAGACUACAAUUUAAGGAGAAUACCGCUUUUAGAAAGAACCGCUGUAGAAAGAAGCCGGCUCUUCCAGCAUGGCAUUCCAUUGAACCCUGAUGGUUCAGUCAGAAGAGCCCUGACUGUUGGUUUAGUCAGCACAGAGACAUGCUGUUCCCCUGUGGCACCCUUUAGGAAGCUAAGGGAGAUUAUUUAGAGAGGAUAGAAGUUUGAAGAUACGUGAGGUUUUAGAGCUAAAUUCCAGUUAUCUUGGAUCUGUCAGCAGAAGUACUUCACUUUUCUGCACAGCUGGGCAGAGCCUGAUUCCCCGGCUGUGCAGCUCAUGUCUUUGUCUGCCUCUGCCAGGUGGACUGACACCAGGACAGUGUUUUGAGUAACACAUGGUAUUUGUCAGGGAUUAAGUAUUCGUUUUCUCUAGGUAAACUGGAAUUGUGUCCAUGUGUUUCACUGUAAAUACAGCUGUUUACUUAUUAUGCACCUACUUUGUUUUUCCUUUCACGUGGGAGAUAACUCGACAGUGACUGUGAUGGGCAAAACAGACUCAGCGUAGGGAUAUUAAUAUACUUUAUUGCCUAUCACUAACAGCCUAGAGCAACGAGAACUAAAUGAAAACUAAAAUCGCUUCUCCCAAUUCCCUUCCACCUCCCCUCAGGCAGUGCAGGGGAACGGGGCUGCAGUCAAACAUAACGCUUCACAUCCGUCACUCCUUAGUCACUCUCUGUCCCCACCCCACGUGUGCCCUCCCACAAUGCCUUGUUCCCCCAACUGAUCCCACACAGCCUUCCCACCUGCUGUAGCCCUCCCAGCGCGGCUCUGUACGCGCGGUGCCGCAGAGGGACGGCCUGCUCCUCCGUGGGCCUCUCCCGGGCUGCGGGGAGCUGCUGCCGUGUGCCCGGAGCUCCUCCUGCGUCGACCUCGAGCCUGUACAGGAAUGGAAGCCCUUUUAGUGACAUCCAGCCUGGAGCCCUGGGCCCUGUGGUGCUGGAGUUGAUGUUCUACCAAGCAGAGGACCGCUGACAGUGCCAGACAGAGAGGGUGGUUGUCCUUGGCAGCUGAGCUGGUUGACUGCGCUCCCACAGAAAGAAGGCAGAGAUUUACAGUAUUACCAUCUACCAGGUAUUUUUGCCUAUGGCUUGUUCUCUAGCCUCACCAAACUCUUGAGGAGAAGUACUAGGGCUGGAAAUAACAAAUGGCUUAGCUCUCCGCAAAUAUCAACACAUUGUGAAGUUCAUUAUGUGAAUUAGUUCAAAGCAAGCCAGGGCCAGCACUUUGGACAGACUCCCAUGGCUGCCUUGGAAAAAACUGUUGGAUUCUGGCCGUAUAGAGAACAUAAAGUCAA